Molecule: ribosomal RNA, 468 nt
Filed under: uncultured bacterium
Lineage: Bacteria
Description: partial 16S ribosomal RNA
Rfam family: Bacterial small subunit ribosomal RNA
Source: RNAcentral
GACGAACGCUGGCGGCGUGCUUAACACAUGCAAGUCGAACGGAAAGGCCCUGCUUUUGUGGGGUGCUCGAGUGGCGAACGGGUGAGUAACACGUGAGUAACCUGCCCUUGACUUUGGGAUAACUUCAGGAAACUGGGGCUAAUACCGGAUAGGAGCUCCUGCUGCAUGGUGGGGGUUGGAAAGUUUCGGCGGUUGGGGAUGGACUCGCGGCUUAUCAGCUUGUUGGUGGGGUAGUGGCUUACCAAGGCUUUGACGGGUAGCCGGCCUGAGAGGGUGACCGGCCACCUUGGGACUGAGAUACGGCCCAGACUCCUACGGGAGGCAGCAGUGGGGAAUAUUGCACAAUGGGCGGAAGCCUGAUGCAGCAACGCCGCGUGCGGGAUGACGGCCUUCGGGUUGUAAACCGCUUUCGCCUGUGACGAAGCGUGGGUGACGGUAAUGGGUAAAGAAGCACCGGCUAACUACGUG